Molecule: non-coding RNA, 233 nt
Organism: Chiloscyllium plagiosum (whitespotted bambooshark)
Lineage: Eukaryota; Metazoa; Chordata; Chondrichthyes; Orectolobiformes; Hemiscylliidae
Source: RefSeq, a predicted model, not a curated record
ACCCCCCUCCCCUCCCCUCCCCUCCGGCCAGCCUGGUCAGGGGAGGCUUGACAGACCCCACAGCAGGGGUCUUGCAUGGUAACCUGUGGAGGGUGAGCUGGGCUGGUGCAGCAUUUUGUGUGAGCUGCUGCUUGCGCUGUGGGCUCUUCAGGAAUAUGCUGCUUGCCAGUCGCACGCAUUCAUGAAGGGCAUCGGCACAUUUAUAUUAGGUACCAGUGGGGUGUUUGUCACGC